UACAGAGGGUGCAAGCGUUGUUCGGAAUUACUGGGCGUAAAGGAUGCGUAGGCUGCUUGAUCAGUAUGUUGUUAAAUGCUAAAACUCAAUUUUAGUUUGCAAUAUAUACUAUUAAGCUAGAGACCGGGAGAGGUAAAUGGAAUUUCUAAUUUAGAGGUCAAAUUCUCCGAAAUUAGAAGGAACACCAGAAGCGAAGGCGAUUUACUGGAACGGAUCUGACGCUGAGGCAUGAAAGCGUGGGGAGCAAACAGG
This 252-nucleotide ribosomal RNA is filed under the name uncultured bacterium. RNAcentral's name for it is "partial 16S ribosomal RNA". It matches the Rfam family "Bacterial small subunit ribosomal RNA", at positions 524 to 776 of the family's 1533-position model. The record is from RNAcentral.